AAAGAAGGUCACAGUAAUUUGUGGCCACUGACUAAAAUAACCCGAUGGAUGUGAGGGGUUACCGCAUAAGAAGCAAACGGAAAAACUAAAAAGGCCUCUGCAGCCAAGAAGUGUUAUACAGUUCUGAAGAGUGGGCUAUGCCCUCCAUUGUUGCAGCAGACCCCAGCAGCUCCUCAUUGAUUUCUUCUUUCUGGUUCUUGUCUUGAGAAUUCAAAGAAUGAAAUCCAGAGACCAGAAUGGAAUUCUAGGGAUGUCCAAGAAGCCAACUCUUCUGCACAUGUAAUGGUUGACUCAACAAGCUAUUCCUAAGGUUGCAGUGUGGCAAGACUGGACACAGCCAAUUCUGAAGAUUGAUUUGGUACAAGAAUGUCUCUGGGUAUACAAAAAGUAAGAAACAAUCUUUUGAAAACCCUCAAGUGGAAUGAGUGGGUGAUAUUUACAGACCAGUGAAUGUCUGGAAAAGGACCAAGAAACCCGGCCUGGAUCUGUGGAAUGAACACAAGGGGAAAUGUCCUCAGGAAGUCAGAUGGAAAAAAGGUUUUCUGGAAGGAGGCAGAACAGAGGAGCUGGGGCACAGACUUCAUGGAUCACAGGCAGAAAGGAGGAGAAGGAAGACUGUAAAAGUGAGACAAAGAUGGAGAGAACACAGCUCAAGGCUUUUUGAGAUCAUGUUCCUGGUACUGUCAUUAGAAGGUAGUUUCCUCCAAAGAUCAGGGAAGAGGAGAUGCAUGAAGGACUCUCCAGGGACCCAGUGGAGGUGAAGAGCCAGUACUGUACGGGCCCUGGGUAUUUGCAGGAAGUUUCUCCUGCGUUUUCCAGUAUCAAGAUUAACUGACAAAAGUAGGUAAAUUAUUUUAGCAUGUGAUUGUAAUUUUAUUUCGUCUAUUCUAUCACUCAAUGAAGCUAGCUGCUUUUGCCCCAGUGUGCAGUAGCAGAUGUAGGAUCUUUAUUAGGAGACAGUUUAAAUGUAUCUCACUUUCAAUAUAGUCACACACUGCAUAAUGACAUUUUGGUUAAUAGCGGAGUGCAUAGAUGGUGGUCCCAUACUAUUAUAUCACCUACUGACAUUGUAGCCUUUAUGAAAAAAUUGCUUAAGGUCACAUUUGUCAGAACAUGUCCAGUUAUUAAGUGAGGAAUGACUUAAUGAAUGACACAACUGAAGAUUUUUAAGAUCUGCCUUUGGUUAAAUUUCGUUGCUUAGUUUUUUUCUGGAGGUCAAAAAGAAUGGGGAACAGUGUAGGUUGACUGUACAGAAAGUUCCUGCUCAUUCUAAACGUAAGUUUAUAUAGACUAAGUGUUCCUGGCAAUUGCUGAGGUUGGCAUUUUCAAACUUAAGCGAGAAUCAAGACUCAGAAGUGGAGUUGUGGGCUGAUGAGAAAAGUCUGGAAAAUAGGCUACUGGCCAAGAUGAAUCUGGCCUAGGUACUUCAAAGCCUCUUGGGUCUAUUUGUAGGAUCAUGAUUUUGAACUAGGAAAUAUCUUAGCACUGUUUUGUCAUAGAUCGGUUUUUAGUGAACUUUGUUAUUUUUUUCUCCUUGAAGAUAUCUUAACAAUAUUCUUACCGUGAGGCAAAGUUUAUGUCAUACCUAUGUUUUGACUUAUUUUAUGGAAUGACCAAGGGAUGUUUAACAAAUCAAAUAAUUUGUCUCAAGUACUUACUAUUUUGUAAUAGCUGUAUUAGAUGUUAUCUUUUUUUUUCUCAAACAAACUCCAUUUAAAAAUUUUCACUAUUAAAUAUUUUGAUGUUUUUAGUGUCAGU
Long non-coding RNA from Sciurus carolinensis (gray squirrel), 1758 nucleotides. RefSeq lists it as uncharacterized. The record is from RefSeq and is a predicted model, not a curated record. The transcript has 4 exons. Lineage: Eukaryota; Metazoa; Chordata; Mammalia; Rodentia; Sciuridae.